This is a long non-coding RNA of Portunus trituberculatus (swimming crab), 301 nucleotides long. RefSeq lists it as uncharacterized. NCBI's taxonomy places the organism in Eukaryota, Metazoa, Arthropoda, Malacostraca, Decapoda, Portunidae. The record is from RefSeq and is a predicted model, not a curated record. The transcript has 3 exons.
CAGUGGCAAGCCUUCACCACAACACUGCACACUGCCUAAUCUUCGUCUAUUAAAGUUUGGUGAGAUGAUAAAGACUAUAUAUGGAUGUCCUGCCGCCACUGUUCCCGGGGUUUUUCCCGGGCCGCCUCCCCCCGGCGGUCCCCUAGCCAUCACCCUACCCACGCCAUCACCCUUCUAUCGCCAGCCUGCUGGGUCAAAUACUUUUUUUUCGAAUAUUUCCUGACGGUAAUAUUGCGCUUCCAUGGCUCAGACGUGUGGAUGGAAGGAGGAGGAGGAAGAAGAAGGAGUAACAAUGGAGAAG